Molecule: ribosomal RNA, 468 nt
Filed under: uncultured bacterium
Lineage: Bacteria
Description: partial 16S ribosomal RNA
Rfam family: Bacterial small subunit ribosomal RNA
Source: RNAcentral
GACGAACGCUGGCGGCGUGCUUAACACAUGCAAGUCGAACGGAAAGGCCCUGCUUUUGUGGGGUGCUCGAUUGGCGAACGGGUGAGUAACACGUGAGUAACCUGCCCUUGACUUUGGGAUAACUUCAGGAAACUGGGGCUAAUACCGGAUAGGAGCUCCUGCUGCAUGGUGGGGGUUGGAAAGUUUCGGCGGUUGGGGAUGGACUCGCGGCUUAUCAGCUUGUUGGUGGGGUAGUGGCUUACCAAGGCUUUGACGGGUAGCCGGCCUGAGAGGGUGACCGGCCACAUUGGGACUGAGAUACGGCCCAGACUCCUACGGGAGGCAGCAGUGGGGAAUAUUGCACAAUGGGCGGAAGCCUGAUGCAGCAACGCCGCGUGCGGGAUGACGGCCUUCGGGUUGUAAACCGCUUUCGCCUGUGACGAAGCGUGAGUGACGGUAAUGGGUACAGAAGCCCACGCUAACUACGUG